AGCGAACGCUGGCGGCAGGCCUAACACAUGCAUGUCGAACGGAUCCUUCGGGAUUAGUGGCGGACGGGUGAGUAACACGUGGGAACGUGCCCUUUGGUUCGGAACAACUCAGGGAAACUUGAGCUAAUACCGGAUGUGCCCUUCGGGGGAAAGAUUUAUCGCCAUUGGAGCGGCCCGCGUCUGAUUAGCUAGUUGGUGAGGUAACGGCCCACCAAGGCGACGAUCAGUAGCUGGUCUGAGAGGAUGAUCAGCCACACUGGGACUGAGACACGGCCCAGACUCCUACGGGAGGCAGCAGUGGGGAAUCUUGCGCAAUGGGCGAAAGCCUGACGCAGCCAUGCCGCGUGAAUGAUGAAGGUCUUAGGAUUGUAAAAUUCUUUCAGCGGGGACGAUAAUGACGGUACCCGCAGAAGAAGCUCCGGCUAACUUCGUG
Molecule: ribosomal RNA, 433 nt
Filed under: uncultured bacterium
Lineage: Bacteria
Description: partial 16S ribosomal RNA
Rfam family: Bacterial small subunit ribosomal RNA
Source: RNAcentral